GAGUUCGGAAAGGAUAUGACAAUGGAAAUUAUUGGUGCUGUGGGGUACUUCGAUUUGUUCCAGCUUGAUUAGAUAGAAUACUCGACAUAGUAGGAUCAAGGACAAACAGUUUGGAGAACAUGGAUUUGCUUGAGGUUCACAAGUAGAGUUUGUUGGUUCAUACUUAGCACUAUUGAUUGUGCUUCUACUCAGCUCCUUAGAUAACA
This 206-nucleotide unclassified non-coding RNA is filed under the name Hevea brasiliensis (rubber tree). The record is from RNAcentral. Lineage: Eukaryota; Viridiplantae; Streptophyta; Magnoliopsida; Malpighiales; Euphorbiaceae.